This 469-nucleotide ribosomal RNA is filed under the name uncultured bacterium. RNAcentral's name for it is "bacterial SSU rRNA". It matches the Rfam family "Bacterial small subunit ribosomal RNA", at positions 331 to 793 of the family's 1533-position model. The record is from RNAcentral.
CCAGACUCCUACGGGAGGCAGCAGUGGGGAAUCUUCCGCAAUGGGCGAAAGCCUGACGGAGCAACGCCGCGUGAUCGAAUGAAGGCCUUCGGGUUGUAAAGAUCUGUUGACAGGGACGAAUAAGCAAUGCGAAUAGUUUUGUGUAUGACGGUACCUGUUUAGAAAGCUCCGGCUAACUACGUGCCAGCAGCCGCGGUAAUACGUAGGGAGCAAGCGUUGUCCGGAAUUACUGGGCGUAAAGGGCGCGUAGGUGGGCGCUUAAGUCAGGUGCGAAGACUCCGGGCUCAACCUGGAGACUGCACUUGAAACUGGGUGUCUUGAGGGCAGGAGAGGAAAGUGGAAUUCCUAGUGUAGCGGUGAAAUGCGUAGAUAUUCGGAGGAACACCGGUGGCGAAGGCGGCCGACUGGGCUUUAACUGACGCUGAGGCUCGAAAGUGUGGGGAGCAAACAGGAUUAGAUACCCCAGUAA